Molecule: long non-coding RNA, 3035 nt
Filed under: Daucus carota (carrot)
Lineage: Eukaryota; Viridiplantae; Streptophyta; Magnoliopsida; Apiales; Apiaceae
Description: long non-coding RNA (DCAR_LNC000617)
Source: RNAcentral
UGCUGUCUGAAUCUACUUCAUAAUUAGGACAUAAGCCCUACAGUAUCAUAAAAACUGAAAUUGUUUCCCGGCAGAUCCUACGUACAUGAUCCGUGCUAUUCCGAGUAAUGCCUCUGACAAUGUGUAUUGCACACUCCUUGCUCAAAGCUGUGUACAUGGAGCAAUGGCAGGGUACACUGGUUACACAAGUGGGCUGGUCAAUGGGAGACAGACAUACAUUCCUUUCAAUGUAAGGCUCUGAUUUAAGAACCCAUAUAUAUGUAUGUAUGUUGUUGACUCUGUAAAUUUAAUGGCUCUCCUUUAAGUUUUAAUGCAACAUAACUGUGAAGCCUUAUUACUUUGUCAGGCAUAGUCAAUUAAUAAAUCUAUGUGACUGUGCUGACCAUUUUUCCCUUAUAUGAAACGUUUAUUGGAUAAGAAAAUAUACAUUAUACACUUCCUCAUUCGUUGACCUUAAAAGUAAUGUGGACAAAACCCGAAGAUAAGAUUACUGUGUAAACUUACCUAUAGAACCUUUUAACUCCCCCCGCCCCCACCCCACCCCACCCACACACACAGAAGUGGACCGAGCAAAUAUCAUUAUCAUCAAAAGCACUAGAUCACAUGAAUCGGAUAUACAAGUUAAAGUUCACAAGUUCAUUAGUCAAGUUUUAAUCUUGUAUGCCUAUAUGCACAUUCUGUAAUAUACUUUGUAAUCAUGUGUAGUUUAUCAUUUAAAGAUAGAUGGAAUGAAGUAUAUGUAUAAUUUUGCAACUGUAAGUGUCUGUUACCAGGAGUCAACAAAUGUACAUCACAUGUCUUUCUUUAAACAACUACUAUCGUUUUAUUGCUAAAAGGUUGUUCUCUAACUUGCAAAAAUUUUCCUUAAGACCUUGCCCAUACGCUGUGUAGUAUUGUUCAGUUUUCAAUUGUAAUCAAUUUGCCCAAUAUUGUUAUAGAGAUAGCCAACAUGUAAACGAGUUGCUAUUUAAUGGAUAACAUGUAAUCUAAAGUAUUAUGAUGUUUAAUGACAAUUCUGCUCCAACUUUCUUGCUACACAUGUAACUAAUUUUCACAAGUUGCUUCAAUUAAUAUAGGUGUAAGAUUGUUUUUUCUUUCUUGUAGACCCUUAUGUUGUGUUUGGUUGGGGUGAAUGAUUCCGGAAGGAAUGCCUUCAAUUUGAGAUGGAAUGCUCCAUACUCUCCUAUGCUCAAUUUCUUCUCAAAUCUCAUCAUAGCAAUUUUGCACUCCCUCAAAUUUUUUCCAAAACUUUCUUCCUAUCUCUAUUAGUUUCAAGUAUUUUUACUCAUUCCAUUCUCCCCAACCAAACUCAACAUUACUCUUUCCUGUGUCACAUUUCUUUCUUUAGUUGUCAGGAAAGGGGAAAGGUAGUAAAUAGGAGUGACAAAAUUUGCGUAGUUUUUUUUUUUAAUUUUUACAAUCAGCAUUGCCAGAUUUGUAAUCAGAUAGUGCAUGUGCAGCGUAUCACCGAGAUGCAGAAUAAGGUUGUAAUAACUGACAGGAUGUGGGCAAGACUUCUUUCUUCAACAAACCAGCCAAGUUUUUUGGGACCAAAAGAUGCAGUUGAGGUGAAGAAUGAACCAGCACCAUCCAGCCAAUUGUUGGAAAGCGAAAACUGUAAUUGUGAGGACAAGGCAGCCAAGUAGAGACAACCAGCAUGCACGAAAUUAUAACAAGCACUUCAGACAGCUAGUUUAAAUCUCAGCAAGUGCAAUUGAUUAUUUGUAACAUAGGUCUCUUCAAGAUUUCUUUAUUAUAAGAUGGGGCUGCUGCCAUCAUUUAUAUUUCCAUGGUGAAUGUUAACUAGGAUCUCUUAUCUUUUUAAAAAGCAACCAAGGAAAAAGAGUGUUUUUGGUGUAUGAUAUAUUAGAUCUAUUACAACUUCUUUAUAUAUUGAAAAGCAACAAAGGCUAUAUAAAAAGCAACCAGGCAAAAGAGUUGAGAAAUUAUAGUAUCAAAUAUGUCCCGGUUACUACAAAAUUAAAAGAUAUUAUUGGUUUAUUUAUUAUUUGAAUAUAUUAUAUAUCAUUAUUAGUUUACAUGAUAAAUAGAUACUUAAUUGUACUUGUCACCUCAAGUUGACUGUACUUGGUUUUGUUUACAAAAUUAUUAUUUAACUAAUUCAUUCACUAAUCAAUUCACAUAAUAAUAUCUACGUGAAUUAAAUUUGCCAAUCAAAGUAUAAUCUCAUCAUUUUUUCAAAAAAUAAAUUAUAAUAUAUAGGGAGAUGAUCAAAUACAAACCUAAAAGCUAAAAACAAUCCAUAAUUAUGUAAAUAUAUUCACUAAAUAUUUAAUAUAAAAUACCUUCUGUUUUACAACUCCAAUCUGAUAGCACCUCACGUCUAGCUAACCACUCACCCAUGCUACUCAUCGACCCAUGAUGCCGCCGCGCCAGCCACCUCACUACAGCCACCAACAACACCACACUCUCCCCGCUCACGUUUAGCUGUAACCGCUCACCCACGCUACUCAUCAGCCCAUAUUGCUGCCAACCACCAAUAUUAACACCACGCUGUCCCCGCCACUUUUUCUUUUCCGCUGUCUUCCUUAUUCCCUUCUCUAAAAUUUCAAAACUCCAAACCCCUCUCGCAGCUAAGCACCCAGAUUGAUUAGCAUCCAGAUAAAUCGUCCAAUUUGCUCGAAGCUUUUGUCUCGAAAUUCGCGUUCAGCAUAGUAGUGGUAAUCAAAGAUGAUGACAGUGAUCGAGAAAGACGGAGGUGAGACGGGGAGUGGAUAAAACUGAAUAAUUAUUAAAUAGAUAUUUUGGAGACGGCAGAGGUGCAGACGAUGCAGGAUGGAGCGAUGGAGGUGGGAUGGAUUUGUUGGUGAUAGAGAUGGUGAAAAUGGACAUGGAGGGAUGUCGGACGUGGAAUUGCCGAAAUUGGAGGAUGUAUGAAUAUUUUAUCUAGAAUUUAAUGAUAUCUUAUUUGGGUUUUAUAGUUUGUAAAAUAAGAAAAAUUAUAGCAGAAUAAGAUUACAUAAUUUAGAAUUUGACGAGUUUAUUGUAAAUUGUGAUCUGAUGUGACAAUCUAU